ACAAUGGAUACUUAGUACGGCGAGUGAAGCGGUAAAAGCUCAAAUUUGAAAUCUGGUACUUUCAGUGCCCGAGUUGUAAUUUGUAGAAUUUGUCUUUGAUUAGGUCCUUGUCUAUGUUCCUUGGAACAGGACGUCAUAGAGGGUGAGAAUCCCGUUUGGCGAGGAUACCUUUUCUCUGUAAGACUUUUUCGAAGAGUCGAGUUGUUUGGGAAUGCAGCUCAAAGUGGGUGGUAAAUUCCAUCUAAAGCUAAAUAUUGGCGAGAGACCGAUAGCGAACAAGUACAGUGAUGGAAAGAUGAAAAGAACUUUGAAAAGAGAGUGAAAAAGUACGUGAAAUUGUUGAAAGGGAAGGGCAUUUGAUCAGACAUGGUGUUUUUUUAAUGUGCAAGUCUCUCGUGGACAUGUGCCUCUGGAAAUUAACACUGGGCCAACAUCAGUUCUGGCGGCAGGAUAAAUCAUUAAGAAUGUAGCUACCUCGGUAGUGUUAUAGCUUUUUGGAAUACUGCCAGCUGGGAUUGAGGACUGCGCUUCGGCAAGGAUGUUGGCAUAAUGGUUAAAUGCCGCCCGUCUUG
RNAcentral lists this ribosomal RNA (572 nucleotides) under Hanseniaspora thailandica (nom. inval.). RNAcentral describes it as "eukaryotic LSU rRNA". It matches the Rfam family "Eukaryotic large subunit ribosomal RNA", at positions 68 to 656 of the family's 3401-position model. The record is from RNAcentral. Lineage: Eukaryota; Fungi; Ascomycota; Saccharomycetes; Saccharomycodales; Saccharomycodaceae.